AGUGAUCAGUUUUUCUGUUUCUUCUCUGGAGAUGCACAAUGAGGGACGUCUGCAGAGACUGAGAAAGAGUCUCACCACAUCCUGACAUGAGGAAAAAGACUUUAUUGAAGACUACAAUGAGAAAAACGAUCCAGACAGCAGACGGCUACAUUCAAGGCUACAGGAGGAGCCCUACGAGGACGAGCCGGUCCACCUGAUGGCGGCCAGUCGCUGCGGUUCAAAGCCAACACUGACUACGUGGACUUCUACUGGACCACAUGGAGGCCUUCAAACCGGACCAACAAGUUCAGCGACUCCCCGACUCGUGGGUCUGAGGAC
This is a long non-coding RNA of Amphiprion ocellaris (clown anemonefish), 318 nucleotides long. The record is from Ensembl. NCBI's taxonomy places the organism in Eukaryota, Metazoa, Chordata, Actinopteri, Pomacentridae.